This 514-nucleotide long non-coding RNA is filed under the name Sinocyclocheilus anshuiensis. Its description in RNAcentral is "lncRNA (ENSSANG00000036702.1)". Lineage: Eukaryota; Metazoa; Chordata; Actinopteri; Cypriniformes; Cyprinidae. The record is from RNAcentral.
UCAGUCCAUUUGACCCAUAGCCCACUGGAGUCACCUGCAAUGGUGCUACAACCAAAGGUCCUCCCUUUCAAACCAGGCCCUCCUGGAACUAUCGCCACUCUCGGCCAGGACAUACUGCUUCCUCCGUCUUCAUUUACUGUCUCUUUAGCACAUGACAAGCAUAAAAGCUUACAACAUCAAGAGCUCCCACUGCAUUCUACGCAUUUCACUUCCCACCCUCUCAAAACACAAGGUGUACAUGAGAGAUUACCUGAGCAGGAUGAGGAGAAUGAGGAAGAUGAGACUGUAGAUGUGGAGCAAACAGAAAAUCUCACAAAAUAACUACUAGAUAUUAGACUGGAAAUGCAACGAUACCAGCAAGACAGAAAACAGCUACAGACAUGGCGUAAGCUCCAAAAAGUCUUGACUAACUGGCUCGAAACAACAGGCAUUGAGGGAGAAACUGAGGAACGAGAAAGCAUUUUAAAUGACUUGAGAGUCGCAUUUCUUCUCUAUCUUCGAGAUUAAACAAACA